Lemur catta (Ring-tailed lemur) is the source of this 430-nucleotide long non-coding RNA. RefSeq lists it as uncharacterized. The transcript has 3 exons. NCBI's taxonomy places the organism in Eukaryota, Metazoa, Chordata, Mammalia, Primates, Lemuridae. The record is from RefSeq and is a predicted model, not a curated record.
CCUGAGUAGCUGGGACUACAGGCACGCACCAGGAUACCUGGACAAGAGACUCCAUCUAUGGACUCAAGCCUCACCAGCUUCUGGUGGCAGUCUGAUCAAUAACUUCCGCAACCUGGUACUUGCUUUCCAACAAGAAUCCAGGAUGCACAGGACAGGGUGGAGAUGGAGGUGGACUGUCAGUCCCCACCCUGCACAGGUGCCCCUGCGAGGAUUCCCAGAGGAGGCUGCUUGCUGACAGUGGAGACUGACUUCAGGGCUUUGGCCACCCCAUGGUCUGAAGGGACCUCCUGGCACACUUACACCCCAGUUGGGCACACCCGUUGGAGAGCAAGAGGAACAAAACUCAUCUCAACACCAAUAAGGCAACCACUAUUAACAUUGUACUUUACUUCCUUUAAAUAAAAAAAUCACUUAAAAUAUUGUAAACAUA